Molecule: ribosomal RNA, 450 nt
Filed under: uncultured bacterium
Lineage: Bacteria
Description: bacterial SSU rRNA
Rfam family: Bacterial small subunit ribosomal RNA
Source: RNAcentral
GAGUGGUAUCAGAUGUAGCAAUACAUGCGUAAGAGCGGCGUAAUGUUGAUUAAUGCAUGGGAACAUUUCUUGUUAUGGGAGAUAAUCAGUAAUAAGCCUAGGUCACACUGCAUGAACACGAGAGUGGAUAGCGUGGGAAUGUAAGGCAUCGCGUGAGAAGAACGCCCGAUCCCGUAAUAGUUAUUGGCGGGGUUAAGGCCCCACCAAGGUAAGGAUCGUUAGUUGUUUUAAGAGAAGAUCCACCAACAUGGGGAUGAAAACCGGUCCAAAAUUCUUAGGGAAGCAACCAUUGGGGAUUUUGGGACAAGGGGGGCAACCUUAAUCAACCAAUCCGGGUGAUUUAUAGAAGCCUUUGGGUUUUUAAGGUAUUUUAGGAGGGAAGGAAAUGGUACGGGAGAACAUACCGGAUCGAUGACGGUACCGUAAGAAGAAGCACCGGCUAACUAUGUG